Molecule: long non-coding RNA, 1267 nt
Organism: Cotesia glomerata
Lineage: Eukaryota; Metazoa; Arthropoda; Insecta; Hymenoptera; Braconidae
Exons: 5
Source: RefSeq, a predicted model, not a curated record
AAAAAAUAAUAAAAGCUAAUAAAAAGAUAAUAUUGAAAGAGUUUACAAAAAUAUAAAGUAAAUUAAGAGUAAGUAAAUUUGAGAAUUAAUAAGCAAGACCAAGGUUCUUCGAGAAAUGAUGAUGUUGGUGAGGAUUAUCUAAAAUUAACAGCAGUUGAUACAACUUUAUGAGAUAUGUAUACAACUAAUAAUAAAAAAAUCAAAACCAAUCAUCUCGAAAAAUUUUCUAAAGAAAAAAUGCCUGAAAAUAAUGAAGAAAAAAUCCCUGAAAAUAAUGGAAAACAAAGUAAUUGUGAAAAAGUCGAUUUCACAUCCAAUGAAGAUAUUUCUGCAAUGCAACCUGGCCAGUCGGUAGAGUUAAUUGGAUUCGUGGAUGAAGUUGAAGCAUCUCAUUUAGCUGGUUCUCACUUUGUUUUCAAAUUUUUGUUGAAUAACAACAAUGGCAAAAGAGUUCAAAUUGCUGCAUGGAGAGGAGGUAAAAAGAACGGAGGCACUUAUAUCAACUUACAAGAUAAUUUAUUUGGAGGGUGCAAAGACGAAGAAUGUUAAUAAUUACACUUCUGGAAAUGUGAGAAAUGUUGAAGUUCAUGUUAUUAAUUCUACAAUUAUUCAAGUAUUGGGAAUGAUGGAUAAGAAUGCGAUACGAGCAAUAUCAUUUUAUGAUUCAAAUGUCGAGUAUCCUAUGAUUCAGCUGAAGGAUAUACAAGGAAACUUGUAACCAGUAAUUUUGCGUACCUGUGGAUACUUGAAAACCGCAUUUUCAGUGAAAAAAUCCUCGAUGUCUACAAGGAAUGAGGCAUUUAGUUACGUAACCGACCGUGGUUUGCAAUUAGAGAUCAAAGUUUCAAAUUAUACUGACAGUGUACUAAAGCAAGGUGAUCACGUAGAAGUGAUUGGGACUCCCAAAGUCAUUGAUGAUUCCUUGGUUUUGAAAAUUGAGUCUGUUAAUCAGAUCCGGAAAAUUGAUGAAGAAACUAAACCGCUCGUAUGGCUUUUGAGAGGAAAGAACAGUAUUCCUUUGUCUGAAUAUAAUAAGCGUCAAAAAUUGAAUCAGCUUGAAGAAGAAAUUAGAUAAACUAAAAUUUUGAAGAAUAUAUUAAUUGAAAAAAAAUCUAUUUAAGACAAAUUAUCGAAAUGUUUGUUUUAAAUGUUGUCAACAUAGAAAAAAUAAUUUAAAAAAGAAGUUAUCUUCCAGAGAAAUUAUUAAUGUUCGUUUUAAACGUUGUCAGCAUAUAAAAAAAAUAAAUUACAAGAUGUUCAUUUCUAA